GACGAACGCUGGCGGCGUGCCUAAUACAUGCAAGUAGAACGCACAGUUUAUACCGUAGCUUGCUACACCAUAGACUGUGAGUUGCGAACGGGUGAGUAACGCGUAGGUAACCUGCCUGGUAGCGGGGGAUAACUAUUGGAAACGAUAGCUAAUACCGCAUAAUAUUAAUUAUUGCAUGAUAAUUAAUUGAAAGGUGCAAUUGCACCACUACCAGGUGGACCUGCGUUGUAUUAGCUAGUAGGUGAGGUAACGGCUCACCUAGGCGACGAUACAUAGCCGACCUGAGAGGGUGAUCGGCCACACUGGGACUGAGACACGGCCCAGACUCCUACGGGAGGCAGCAGUAGGGAAUCUUCGGCAAUGGACGAAAGUCUGACCGAGCAACGCCGCGUGAGUGAAGAAGGUUUUCGGAUCGUAAAGCUCUGUUGUAAGAGAAGAACGGGGGUGAGAGUGGAAAGUUCACACUGUGACGGUAUCUUACCAGAAAGGGACGGCUAACUACGUG
RNAcentral lists this ribosomal RNA (505 nucleotides) under uncultured bacterium. Its description in RNAcentral is "partial 16S ribosomal RNA". It matches the Rfam family "Bacterial small subunit ribosomal RNA", at positions 28 to 507 of the family's 1533-position model. The record is from RNAcentral.